Molecule: long non-coding RNA, 289 nt
Filed under: Homo sapiens (human)
Lineage: Eukaryota; Metazoa; Chordata; Mammalia; Primates; Hominidae
Description: HSALNT0070547
Source: RNAcentral
CACUGACUCCUUUUUUGGACUCAGCCUGCCUGCACUCAGGUGAAAUAAACAGUCUUGUUGCUCACACAAAGCCUGUUUGGUGGUCUCUUCACAUGGACUUCAGUGAAAUUUGGUGCCGUGACUCGGAUCGGGGGACCUCCCUUGGGAGAUCAAUCUCCUGUCCUCCUGCUCUUUGCUCCAUGAGAAAGAUCCACCUACGAUCUCUGGUCCUCAGAUCAACCAGACCAAGGAACAUCUCACCAAUUUUAAAUCGGAUUUUCUCGGCUUAGCCACUGAAGACUGAUGCUGC